RNAcentral lists this long non-coding RNA (344 nucleotides) under Sinocyclocheilus grahami. Its description in RNAcentral is "lncRNA (ENSSGRG00000038734.1)". Lineage: Eukaryota; Metazoa; Chordata; Actinopteri; Cypriniformes; Cyprinidae. The record is from RNAcentral.
GUUGUCCUCAGUGACAGCCGCAGCAGUUAGAGGAAGUGUAACACAGUGUGCAGCUCUCACUCUGACUGUUUGGCCAGCACAAGUUUUUAUACAUGUGCCAUAUAAGAUGUAGUCCAUUGAUAGUCUCACAAGGAUGAAAGCAGUCACAGUGAUGAUUAUUUCCGCUUACCUCAUUACGUAAGGACCAAGCCACAGUAUGGCAUCCUGGAGAAAUUCUAGCAGUAUUCAUGUUAUGGACUCAGCAGCUGAAUAUGCUGCCAUUGAAUCUGAAAUCUACCGUAGCCUGCUAACCAUUAUAAGAGAAAUGGACACUGAGCAACCAGUUGUCAACAAAGGUAGGACUC